This 946-nucleotide ribosomal RNA is filed under the name uncultured archaeon. RNAcentral's name for it is "bacterial SSU rRNA". It matches the Rfam family "Archaeal small subunit ribosomal RNA", at positions 1 to 923 of the family's 1478-position model. The record is from RNAcentral.
UUCCGGUUGAUCCUGCCGGACCCUACUGCUAUCGAGGUGGGACUAAGCCAUGCCAGUCGAACGACCCGGACUAUGGCGGGGAGUGGCAGACUGCUCAGUAACACGUAGCUAACCUACCCUCGGGACGGGGAUAACCCCGGGAAACUGGGGCUAAUACCCGAUAGGUAUGGAUUCCUGGAAUGGUGCCAUGCCUAAACGUAAGCACAUCCAUGUUUGUGUGCACGCCCGAGGAUGGGGCUGCGGCCGAUCAGGCAGUUGGUGAGGUAACGGCUCACCAAACCUUUGACCGGUACGGGCCAUGAGAGUGGUAGCCCGGAGAUGGGCACUGAGACAAGGGCCCAGGCCCUACGGGGCGCAGCAGGCGCGAAACCUCCACAAUUCACGCAAGUGAGAUGGGGUUACCUCGAGUGCCAUCUGAAGAAGGUGGCUUUUCCAUGGUGUAAUGAGCCGUGGGAAUAAGGGGGGGGCAAGACUGGUGUCAGCCGCCGCGGUAACACCAGCCCCCCGAGUGGUGGGGAUGAUUAUUUGGCCUAAAGCGUCCGUAGCCAGCUCGGUAAAUCUCUCGUUAAAUCCAGCGUCCUAAGCGUUGGGCUGCGAGGGAAACUGCCGAACUAGAGGGUGGGAGAGGUCAGCGGUAUUCCUGGGGUAGGGGCGAAAUCCAUUGAUCCCAGGAGGACCACCAGUGGCGAAGGCUGCUGACUAGAACACGCCUGACGGUGAGGGACGAAAGCUGGGGUAGCGAAUCGGAUUAGAUACCCGAGUAGUCCCAGCCGUAAACGAUGCAGGCUAGGUGUUGGGUCGGCCAUGCGCCGCCUCAGUGCCACAGGGAAGCCAUUAAGCCUGCCGCCUGGGGAGUACGGCCGCAAGGCUGAAACUUAAAGGAAUUGGGCGGGGGAGCACCACCAGGCGUGAAGCCCUGCGGUUUAAUUGGGAUUCAACGCCGGGA